AGAGUUUGAUCAUGGCUCAGGAUGAACGCUGGCGGUCUGCUUAACACAUGCAAGUCGAACGAACUCUUCGGAGUGAGUGGCGGACGGGUGAGUAACGCGUGAGAAUCUACCUGUGGGUCGGGGACAACCACUGGAAACGGUGGCUAAUACCGGAUGAGCCGAAAGGUAAAAGAUUUAUUGCCCACAGAUGAGCUCGCGUCUGAUUAGCUAGUUGGUAAGGUAAAAGCGUACCAAGGCGACGAUCAGUAGCUGGUCUGAGAGGAUGAGCAGCCACACUGGGACUGAGACACGGCCCAGACUCCUACGGGAGGCAGCAGUGGGGAAUUUUCCGCAAUGGGCGAAAGCCUGACGGAGCAAGACCGCGUGGGGGAGGAAGGUUUUUGGAUCGUAAACCCCUUUUGUCAAGGAAGAAGCUCUGACGGUACUUGACGAAUAAGCCUCGGCUAACUCCGUGCCAGCAGCCGCGGUAAUACGGAGGAGGCAAGCGUUAUCCGGAAUGAUUGGGCGUAAAGCGUCUGUAGGUGGCCAGCUAAGUCUGCUGUUAAAGAUCACAGCUCAACUGUGGGAAGGCAGUGGAAACU
RNAcentral lists this ribosomal RNA (581 nucleotides) under uncultured cyanobacterium. RNAcentral describes it as "bacterial SSU rRNA". It matches the Rfam family "Bacterial small subunit ribosomal RNA", at positions 8 to 634 of the family's 1533-position model. Lineage: Bacteria; Bacillati; Cyanobacteriota. The record is from RNAcentral.